Molecule: unclassified non-coding RNA, 191 nt
Filed under: Glomeraceae sp.
Lineage: Eukaryota; Fungi; Glomeromycota; Glomeromycetes; Glomerales; Glomeraceae
Description: partial contains 5.8S ribosomal RNA and internal transcribed spacer 2
Rfam family: 5.8S ribosomal RNA (bases 1-71)
Source: RNAcentral
GUGAAUCAUCGAAUUUUUGAACGCACAUUGCACUCCUGGGUAUUCCGGAGAGCAUGCCUGUUUGAGGGUCAGUUUAAAUAAAAAUCGGCGUAGAUGCUGCCUUUCGUGGUGACGCAUCGGCUUUGGGUCGUCUGGCCUUCGGUUAAGAGACCUAAAAUUGUGCAUGAUUUUUUUCUAACGUAUUUAAAUGA